RNAcentral lists this ribosomal RNA (400 nucleotides) under uncultured bacterium. RNAcentral's name for it is "bacterial SSU rRNA". It matches the Rfam family "Bacterial small subunit ribosomal RNA", at positions 355 to 770 of the family's 1533-position model. The record is from RNAcentral.
UGGGGAAUUUUUGACAAUGGGCGAAAGCCUGAUCAAGCAAUGCCGCGUGAGUGAUGAAGGCCUUUAACGGUUGUAAAGCUCUUUUAGUAGUGAUGAUAAUGACAGUAGCUACAGAAAAAGUCCCGGCUAACUUCGUGCCAGCAGCCGCGGUAAUACGAAGGGGGCUAGCGUUACUCGGAAUUACUGGGCGUAAAGCGUGCGUAGGUUGUUUUGUAAGUUGGUAUUUAAAUUCUCAGGCUCAACUUGAGGGCUGGUAUCAAUACUGCAAGACUAGAGUACUGGAGAAGAUAGUGGAAUUCCUAGUGUAGAGGUGGAAUUCGUAGAUAUUAGGAGGAACACCAGAGGCGAAAGCGACUAUCUGGCCAGAAACUGACGCUGUUGCACGAAAGCGUGGGGAGCA